This 492-nucleotide ribosomal RNA is filed under the name uncultured bacterium. Its description in RNAcentral is "partial 16S ribosomal RNA". It matches the Rfam family "Bacterial small subunit ribosomal RNA", at positions 28 to 507 of the family's 1533-position model. The record is from RNAcentral.
GAUGAACGCUAGCUACAGGCUUAACACAUGCAAGUCGAGGGGAAACGACAUCGAAAGCUUGCUUUUGAUGGGCGUCGACCGGCGCACGGGUGAGUAACGCGUAUCCAACCUGCCCACCACUUGGGGAUAACCUUGCGAAAGUAAGACUAAUACCCAAUGAUAUCUCUAGAAGACAUCUGAAAGAGAUUAAAGAUUUAUCGGUGAUGGAUGGGGAUGCGUCUGAUUAGCUUGUUGGCGGGGUAACGGCCCACCAAGGCAACGAUCAGUAGGGGUUCUGAGAGGAAGGUCCCCCACAUUGGAACUGAGACACGGUCCAAACUCCUACGGGAGGCAGCAGUGAGGAAUAUUGGUCAAUGGACGAGAGUCUGAACCAGCCAAGUAGCGUGCAGGAAGACGGCCCUAUGGGUUGUAAACUGCUUUUAUAAGGGAAUAAAGUGAGUCUCGUGAGACUUUUUGCAUGUACCUUAUGAAUAAGGACCGGCUAAUUCCGUG